This 496-nucleotide ribosomal RNA is filed under the name uncultured bacterium. Its description in RNAcentral is "partial 16S ribosomal RNA". It matches the Rfam family "Bacterial small subunit ribosomal RNA", at positions 28 to 507 of the family's 1533-position model. The record is from RNAcentral.
GAUGAACGCUGGCGGCGUGCCUAAUACAUGCAAGUCGAGCGAACAGACGAGGAGCUUGCUCCUCUGACGUUAGCGGCGGACGGGUGAGUAACACGUGGAUAACCUACCUAUAGACUGGGAUAACUUCGGGAAACCGGAGCUAAUACCGGAUAAUAUAUUGAACCGCAUGGUUCAAUAGUGAAAGACGGUUUUGCUGUCACUUAUAGAUGGAUCCGCGCCGCAUUAGCUAGUUGGUAAGGUAACGGCUUACCAAGGCAACGAUGCGUAGCCGACCUGAGAGGGUGAUCGGCCACACUGGAACUGAGACACGGUCCAGACUCCUACGGGAGGCAGCAGUAGGGAAUCUUCCGCAAAGGGCGAAAGCCUGACGGAGCAACGCCGCGUGAGUGAUGAAGGUCUUCGGAUCGUAAAACUCUGUUAUUAGGGAAGAACAAAUGUGUAAGUAACUAUGCACGUCUUGACGGUACCUAAUCAGAAAGCCACGGCUAACUACGUG